Molecule: long non-coding RNA, 524 nt
Organism: Bombyx mori (domestic silkworm)
Lineage: Eukaryota; Metazoa; Arthropoda; Insecta; Lepidoptera; Bombycidae
Exons: 2
Source: RefSeq, a predicted model, not a curated record
CUGGAUACUCUAAGAAAGAGGAAAAUACUAGAUUGUAAAAAGGACGACAAUUUUCUUGCAACACAGAUAAACAUAUAUCGGUGUUAUUGAUAUUACUUAAUACUUUAGAAAAUAUCUAAAAGUGAUACGAUAUACUUAUUUGUGUACUUACUUAAUCGAUGCUUGCUUUGUGCCUCCUUACAGCAGUCAGGAUGGAGAAGGUGGUACCAGCUGACUCCGUGCAAUGAACUUCGCUCCCAACCUAAAUGCCACUCGCUACUGGACAAAAAAAAAACAGAAUUUUAAUUAAGUCUUACUUGGUGUCAACGUGGAGUAUCUUCAUGUCCAUGGCGUGCAGAGUGGUGAAUACGUUGGUGGCUCCGUGCACCACGCACUCGCGGGUCUCCGGCAUCGCGAGCGGCGUGCACACCGCCACAAACACCGGCUCGUUGCGGCUGCACAGCGGCAGAUAUGACACGUAGUGACCCCGCACAAGAACUACCUAAAAAGGAAUAGGUAUGAUUAAAAUUAAUCGUACAGUUGAA